This 254-nucleotide ribosomal RNA is filed under the name uncultured bacterium. RNAcentral describes it as "partial 16S ribosomal RNA". It matches the Rfam family "Bacterial small subunit ribosomal RNA", at positions 524 to 776 of the family's 1533-position model. The record is from RNAcentral.
CACGUAGGGGGCAAGCGUUGUCCGGAUUCAUUGGGCGUAAAGAGCUCGUAGGCGGCUCAGCAAGUCGGGUGUGAAACCUCCAGGCUCAACCUGGAGACGCCACUCGAUACUGCUGUGGCUAGAGUCCAGUAGGGGAGCGUGGAAUUCCUGAUGUAGCGGUGAAAUGCGCAGAUAUCAGGAGGAACACCAGCGGCGAAGGCGGCGCUCUGGGCUGGAACUGACGCUGAGGAGCGAAAGCGUGGGGAGCAAACAGG